UGUGGGAGCUGGCUUGCCUGCGAUAGCGGUGGAUCAGUCAGCCCACUGUGCCUGAUAGACCGCCAUCGCAGGCAAGCCAGCUCCCACA
RNAcentral lists this unclassified non-coding RNA (88 nucleotides) under Pseudomonas cedrina. Lineage: Bacteria; Pseudomonadati; Pseudomonadota; Gammaproteobacteria; Pseudomonadales; Pseudomonadaceae. The record is from RNAcentral.